RNAcentral lists this non-coding RNA (23 nucleotides) under Arabidopsis thaliana (thale cress). Lineage: Eukaryota; Viridiplantae; Streptophyta; Magnoliopsida; Brassicales; Brassicaceae. The record is from RNAcentral.
UUUAUUGUUAGGGCCUCACCUAA